GCCGUUGAAGAACAGCGUGAAGAUGGAACCUGCUACUGAGCACAUCAACUCUUAAGUGUGUCCCUGGAAGAUCUACCAUCAACUUCCAGAACUGCAACUGCUAGUACUGUCAGAUGGUGAAUGCUACUCAGGCAAACACCAUUGUUACACCACUUUGAAGGAGAGCCUGGUCAUUUGGUCCCCUCAGCUUCUCCCUUUCUCAGUGAUAUGUUCAUUGUGGCUGGGAGAAUUGUGGGGCACUCUUUCCUUCAUGGAGGACCCUGCUUGUCUGGACUCUGUGAUGUGGUUGUCCAUACUGCUUCGUGGGAGCCCAGACACGGCUACAGUAAACCUGGAGGACUGUGCAGACCUGGACAUUAGAGAAACAGUCAUUCUGGAGGUGGAAUCAAACCUAUCAGCUGAAGAAAUGGGAAGGGUACAGAACGUGGCCUCUUCCUGGGACCUCCCUCCGCUAACCACAACCAACAGGGCCCUUGUGAGUGAAACC
This is a long non-coding RNA of Sardina pilchardus (European sardine), 487 nucleotides long. RefSeq lists it as uncharacterized. Lineage: Eukaryota; Metazoa; Chordata; Actinopteri; Clupeiformes; Clupeidae. The record is from RefSeq and is a predicted model, not a curated record. The transcript is spliced from 4 exons.